RNAcentral lists this ribosomal RNA (253 nucleotides) under uncultured bacterium. RNAcentral describes it as "partial 16S ribosomal RNA". It matches the Rfam family "Bacterial small subunit ribosomal RNA", at positions 524 to 776 of the family's 1533-position model. The record is from RNAcentral. RNAcentral also lists the same sequence under 2 other names.
GACGAAGGAUGCAAGCGUUAUCCGGAUUCAUUGGGUUUAAAGGGAGCGUAGGUGGACUUGUAAGUCAGUGGUGAAAUCUUUGGGCUUAACCCAGAAACUGCCAUUGAUACUGCAGGUCUAGAGUACAGUUGCCGUUGGCGGAAUAUGACAUGUAGUGGUGAAAUACUUAGAUAUGUCAUAGAACACCGAUUGCGAAGGCAGCUAACGAAGCUGUAACUGACACUGAGGCUCGAAAGUGCGGGGAUCAAACAGG